Molecule: ribosomal RNA, 274 nt
Filed under: uncultured bacterium
Lineage: Bacteria
Description: partial 16S ribosomal RNA
Rfam family: Bacterial small subunit ribosomal RNA
Source: RNAcentral
AUACGAAUGGUGCGAGCGUUGUUCGGAAUCACUGGGCAUAAAGGGCGCGUAGGCGGCGGUGUAAGUCAAUUGUGAAAUCCCUCGGCUCAACCGAGGAACUGCAGUUGAUACUGCGUUGCUAGAGUAUUGGAGGGGAGAGCGGAAUUCCUGGUGGAGCGGUGAAAUGCGUAGAUAUCAGGAGGAACGCCGGAGGCGAAAGCGGCUCUCUGGCCAAUUACUGACGCUGAGGCGCGAAAGCUAGGGUAGCAAACAGGAUUAGAAACCCCAGUAGUCC